Small nuclear RNA from Spermophilus dauricus (Daurian ground squirrel), 107 nucleotides. NCBI's taxonomy places the organism in Eukaryota, Metazoa, Chordata, Mammalia, Rodentia, Sciuridae. The record is from Ensembl.
GUGCUCACUUCAGCAGCACAUAUACUAAAAUUGGAACAAUACAGUGAAGUUUAGCAUGACCCCUGCACAAGGAUGACACGCAAAAUCAUGAAGUGUUCAAAAAAUGU